GAAUAGGUCUCCCUGAUCAUCACAAUAGAAUGGGUCUCCCUGGUCACCAUGACAAUAGAAUUGGUCUCCCUGAUCACCAUGACAAUAGAAUAGGUCUCCCUGAUCAUGACAUUUACAUUUACAUUUACAUUUACCAUGUCACCAUGACAAUAGAAUAGGUCUCCCUGAUCAUGACAAUAGAAUAGGUCUCCCUGAUCAUCACAAUAGAAUGGGUCCCCCUGGUCACCAUGACAAUAGAAUAGGUCUCCCUGUGCUGGACUCCAGCAGCACCUGGCCUUUUUUGGAACCUGUUAAUCAAAGUGAUACUCUGCGGUGUGUGCGUGUGUGUGUGUGUGUGUGUGUGUGUGUGUGUGUGUGUGUGUGUGUGUGUGUGUGUGUGUGUGUGUGUGUGUGUGUCGGACACAGCAUGGCAGGGGUCGUGUUUCACCAGUGAGGACCUCCUUGAUCCCGCCUGGAGGAUGUAAGAAAAGAAAGGAGGGGAAAAGAGAGAAGGUGGAAAGAGAGAAGACAAAGGGAAUACACAAAGAAGUGUGUUGUGAGUUAAUUCAUUGCUUCUGUUCCGGCUGCAUUGGGUAACAUGACCUGACGCAAGCUCUCUGAGCUGAGGAGACACCUGCACAGAGGAGGAAACCACAGCUACGUCUGGUCUACAGCUGCAGUCCAAAAAAUCCGUUUUACAAGAAACUACACUACUUCUUUACAGUGCAGCUUGAUUGGGAAGACCGUACAUUACAUAGGCUGAAAUUCAAUUGAAUGAACCCGGU
Molecule: long non-coding RNA, 764 nt
Filed under: Salmo salar (Atlantic salmon)
Lineage: Eukaryota; Metazoa; Chordata; Actinopteri; Salmoniformes; Salmonidae
Description: lncRNA (ENSSSAG00000101834.1)
Source: RNAcentral